AGUAACCUGGCCUUGGAGUGGGGAAUAACAGCUGGAAACAGCUGCUAAUACCGCAUAAUAUGUCUGUGUCGCAUGGCACUGGACAUCAAAGAUUUAUCGCUCUGAGAUGGACUCGCGUCUGAUUAGCUGGUUGGCGGGGUAACGGCCCACCAAGGCGACGAUCAGUAGCCGGACUGAGAGGUUGGCCGGCCACAUUGGGACUGAGACACGGCCCAGACUCCUACGGAAGGCAGCAG
This 236-nucleotide ribosomal RNA is filed under the name uncultured bacterium. Its description in RNAcentral is "partial 16S ribosomal RNA". It matches the Rfam family "Bacterial small subunit ribosomal RNA", at positions 120 to 354 of the family's 1533-position model. The record is from RNAcentral.